AAUGAACGCUGGCGGCGUGCCUAAUACAUGCAAGUCGAGCGAACGGACGAGAAGCUUGCUUUUCUGAUGUUAGCGGCGGACGGGUGAGUAACACGUGGAUAACCUACCUAUAAGACUGGGAUAACUUCGGGAAACCGGAGCUAAUACCGGAUAAUAUUUUGAACCGCAUGGUUCAAAAGUGAAAGACGGUCUUGCUGUCACUUAUAGAUGGAUCCGCGCUGCAUUAGCUAGUUGGUAAGGUAACGGCUUACCAAGGCAACGAUGCAUAGCCGACCUGAGAGGGUGAUCGGCCACACUGGAACUGAGACACGGUCCAGACUCCUACGGGAGGCAGCAGUAGGGAAUCUUCCGCAAUGGGCGAAAGCCUGACGGAGCAACGCCGCGUGAGUGAUGAAGGUCUUCGGAUCGUAAAACUCUGUUAUUAGGGAAGAACAUAUGUGUAAGUAACUGUGCACAUCUUGACGGUACCUAAUCAGAAAGCCACGGCUAACUACGUG
Molecule: ribosomal RNA, 497 nt
Filed under: uncultured bacterium
Lineage: Bacteria
Description: partial 16S ribosomal RNA
Rfam family: Bacterial small subunit ribosomal RNA
Source: RNAcentral